This 84-nucleotide transfer RNA is filed under the name Synergistaceae bacterium. RNAcentral's name for it is "tRNA-Leu". It matches the Rfam family "tRNA". From Rfam's summary of the family: Transfer RNA (tRNA) molecules are approximately 80 nucleotides in length. Their secondary structure includes four short double-helical elements and three loops (D, anti-codon, and T loops). Lineage: Bacteria; Thermotogati; Synergistota; Synergistia; Synergistales; Synergistaceae. The record is from RNAcentral.
GCGAGGGUGGUGGAACUGGUAGACACGCGAGACUUAGGAUCUCGUGCCAUCGGCAUGGGGGUUCGAGUCCCCCCCUUCGCACCA